Molecule: long non-coding RNA, 1858 nt
Filed under: Homo sapiens (human)
Lineage: Eukaryota; Metazoa; Chordata; Mammalia; Primates; Hominidae
Description: HSALNT0296807
Source: RNAcentral
CUUAGGUAGUUUGGCGAUCUUCUCCUGUAAAUAAUCAAUAGUCCCUGAACAGCACUUGUAAAUUUGAGCGUAGAAAACUGGGUGAGAUGUUUUUAUGGUGAAAGAAGCUUCUCCUUGAAGUCCCUGCAGAAGCCCCAGGGGCAGAGUGACAUGGACAGGUUUUGGGGAUGUGGGCUGAAUGAUGCCAUUAUGGGGCUGCUGGAAUCUGGGGUGCCAGAGCUGUUGGUUGGAAAGCCCCCGGGUAUGAGGGCAAUGUGCCACUUUGACGACAGCCUCUGCCUCCAACUUUUUUGGGCCUGAACAGUGCGGAGGAUGAAAACUUCUCACCCAGCUUUCUACAUUCAAGUUUACAAGUGCUGCUCAGGACCCACUGAUUAUUUCCAGGGGAAGAUCACCAAACCGCCUAAGGCCGAGACUCCCAGGAUAGCGCAGCAUGCCCCGGAGUCCCCCAGCUCGAUUUGCUCAGAACUCAGAAAGAAAACAGCCCACACUCCUUGAACUUCAGGCACUGAUGGAGGCAUUUUCCAAAGAACAGUGACAAGGACGGCCAGCACCUCUCUUGCAUUCCUCAGUCUGACUCAAGCUGCUCUUCCACCCUCCUCCCCAGCUGGAGCUGAGGCUGAAGGCAGUUGAGGGCCACCAGGGAGAAGAGCUGGGUCAGGGCCGUGACUUGCCAGCAAGCAUGAGGCCAAGCAGAUGUGCCGGGCUUCAGAGAAGUGAUUUUACCCUGAGCUACACAGGCAGGAAGACCACCAGCCUGGAAGGGCCCUUCAGCCACUUUCCCAACAAACAGCAAAUCUCCGCCGAUUGAACUCUGACUGAGGCAAUGGGGGCAUGCCAGGCAACAAGGUGGAGGUUUGCUACCGUGGGAGCAGGGAGAGCGUGGAACACAGACGCUCUGGGUGUUGAAGAGGAGGCUUCACCCUUAAAUCCACACCAACAGCCCCCUUCACUUCCCCCGGUGAAGAACGAAGGACCCUGUGGGAUUUCUACUUCAAAUCUCUCAUUUAUUCCGACAUCCACUCGGUUAUGACUCCAAGUUAUCAAAGAUGCAAGACAAGAAGUCUAGAGCAGGAGUGGUGAAGUGGAGGUGGAGAAAGACGGCGGAGAGGGCUGUGUUCCUGGCCCCUCCUUCUCUUCCAAUUUAGGGCACCGUUUGAAAAGUGUACAAGUAGUGUCCCUUAGCACAGACUAGACAGCAGAAAAGGACAGUGCAGUUGAGUGGGGGAAGCUUCCUUUUCCACAGGGUGGGGCCCUGCGGCUGCAGCGGGCAGGCAGGCAAUCUCGAGCCUGGUUGGAGACCGUGCCCUGAGCAGCGUGGGCUAUGUGGGGAAGAGCUGGGGCCCACCAUCUCUCCAGCACCCCAAACCCAGAUUCUGAUUUGUGGGGCUAGCAGGGCUUAGCUAGGAAAGCGGUAGGAGGGAGGGGAUUGCACAGGACGCUUGUACUCAGGGACCCCAUCAAUCAGGGGCAAGAAGUGGGUGAUGGUUAACUGGGUCUUGAUUUUUACAAAGGCAGGACGUACGAAUGAUGUUAUUUCUGGCAAGGAGGACACGGCUGCUGUGGUUGAUUGGCUGUGGAAUUCCAGGGGAGCAAGGCACUAGGAAGUGGGGAACGCUGCCAGGCCCAGCAGCUCAUCAGGAGCUUGCACUUGGCCCAGUUAGGGCUGGCCGUGGGACGGGCUUGUUGAAGCUGCUGCCGCCAUAAGCUGCCCCUCUGCACCAGGAGACAGAUCCCAUUACCCCACCUACAGCUGCUUCCUGGUACAAGAGAAGAGUUACCAUUUGAAAUGACUCCACAGGAGAGUCUGACAAACAUGUUUGCUUUUCACUGACAAUUAAAAUUGUUUUGCUGCUAA